This is a non-coding RNA of Pelobates cultripes (western spadefoot toad), 551 nucleotides long. Lineage: Eukaryota; Metazoa; Chordata; Amphibia; Anura; Pelobatidae. The record is from the annotation of a GenBank genome assembly.
CGUUGGACUAUGUCCUUAAGUAUCCCCAAAAUAGGGACUGACCUAAAGCUAAAACUGAAUAUCAGGCUGGGAAAAUAAAUAAAGCACUAAGGACCACUCUUGGAUCCUUCUACUUUCCUGACUUUUAGACAAUCAAACAACUAAUGCUCAAAAACUAUUUAACAAAAUAAUUUUGUUGGGGCAGAGAGGGCUUGCUGCUAGCUUCCCUACUGAUUAAUAGACAAAAUUCAAGAAAACCAACCGAUACGGCUAGUUUACAGCACAAUCAGUCCUUUUAUGGCCUGGCACCUGAAAGCCUGUCUGGGAAGAAUAUAAAGGUUGAAUUUUAAAAUCUCCCUUUCACUCUUUAAGUGGGGAUCUGAUCACCUAUCUUAGGACAUGUCUCUCUCAUGUCCCUACAUUUUCAUUCUCACUAUUUUUCAGUUUGUGGAUUUGACAUAAUGUCAUUAAUUGUUAUCCCAUGCUUUGUAUAACUUAAAAUGUUAAACAUUUGCCAAGUUUAUACUGGAUUUGCCAACAUUUCUAUACUGUAUAAAUGCUUUUGGACCUAG